This 195-nucleotide ribosomal RNA is filed under the name Triticum aestivum (bread wheat). RNAcentral's name for it is "partial small subunit ribosomal RNA". Lineage: Eukaryota; Viridiplantae; Streptophyta; Magnoliopsida; Poales; Poaceae. The record is from RNAcentral.
GAUGCAACCUUUGUUCGUGCUGCUUUCAGCAACAGGCUUUCUAUAUUCAUCCAAGAUACAUCAGCUAUUUUUGUGGCACUUCUUCUUGGUAUGCUGCUAGAAUGGCGGGUUGCUCUUGUUGCACUCGCAACCUUGCCUAUCCUUGUGAUUUCUGCAGUCGCACAGGUUAGCCCUCAUCAAAUUUCAUCAUUCUGA